This 315-nucleotide long non-coding RNA is filed under the name Rattus norvegicus (Norway rat). RNAcentral describes it as "long non-coding RNA NONRATT005578". The record is from RNAcentral. Lineage: Eukaryota; Metazoa; Chordata; Mammalia; Rodentia; Muridae.
ACGCUUUGAUCCGCCAGACCCAGAACAUGUGGGCCUGGCAGCAAAGACCGCAUCUCGGCGCCGUGUGUGUGUGAAUGAACUCCUCUACAGCCCCUUGAUCUUAAAGGAGGGUCACCCUAAAGUGCCUCUGGAUGGUCCUUUGGGAAUAAGUGGGAGUGUUGGAUCGGGAAUGGGCUAGUUGCUUGCAUGCUCUAAUCAAAGCAUGAAAAAAAAACUAGUGCUUUGAAUCAACAGAUCCAGAGACAAUGGCCCCGAUGGGAUGGAGCCGGAAGGCGUCAUCGAGAGUAACUGGAAUGAGAUUGUGGAUAGCUUCGA